Long non-coding RNA from Panicum virgatum (switchgrass), 854 nucleotides. RefSeq lists it as uncharacterized. Lineage: Eukaryota; Viridiplantae; Streptophyta; Magnoliopsida; Poales; Poaceae. The record is from RefSeq and is a predicted model, not a curated record. The transcript has 3 exons.
CAUUGACCAUUGCUUCCUCAGCAGCGUGCGCCUUCACCCAGCAGCAGCAAAAUCGAUCCCUCUCCAUCCGGCCUUUUCUUCCCUUCCCCCUCCCAAGGCUGUGCAGGGCCUCAGCAGGGCUAUAUGCCCCUGCAUUCUCUCGUGUGGGGGCUGCGUGCUGUACAGGGCUGCGCCUCCACAUCUGCCGGCUUGCGGUGCUGCAGGCCGUGCGGGGACGCACUUCCGCAUCCGCUGCCAUGCGGAUCUGUGAGCCGUGCGGGGCCGCGCCACUGCACCACCGGUGUGCGGAUCUGUGAGCCAUGCGAGGCUGCGCCACCCCAUCUGCGGGCGUGAGGAUCUGAUCUGCGACUCUGAGAGUUGGGUGGGGCGAUGCGGCAUCUGCUGGCGUUCAAGGUGUGAGUCGGGAGGGGCCGAGCACCUGUGCGUGGUGCCGAGUUGGACGCAUGUGGCCGAGUUGGACGCAUGUGCUAGGAAAUUGAAUGGCUAGUGGUUCCGGAGGCAUCGACGGCAACAAGGAUGGCAGGUUGCGAUGUCAUAGAUGAGCAUGAAGAAGGCAACAUGAAGAAACAAGCGUUGCAAACUGCAGUUUUUGUCCGGCUAGCUACAUCAAAUUUCCGUGGAUGUUCUUCAAGCCUCAAAGGGAUCAAUUUGACGACUUGGAUAAGGAAGAAGUUGGUCUCCAUGAUUUUGUAGUGAGAUGCGAGUAAAUCUUGGUCUAUAGAUAACUAUGAUAAGUGACUUGUAUAUUUAGAUGCAUGUGUUUACUCGAGACUUGUAGGGUAAAUGAACUUGCAAUGAUCUUGGAGAUGAGUCAUUUUUAUUGCUUUUGAAAAUGAGAUCUUGCUUUUGAUGUA